AUCGCUUCUCGGCCUUUUGGCUAAGGUCAAGGGCAGUAUCUGUUCUUACCAGUUUAACACAGGUGAAGAGAAAGCACGUAAUGCAAGGUGAAGGAAGAAACUCUGUAAAGGUCCUUUUCAAGAACUUGGAAACCUACGACUUCUC
The sequence is a small nuclear RNA, 145 nucleotides long. Its record names the gene U2. It matches the Rfam family "U2 spliceosomal RNA". From Rfam's summary of the family: U2 is a small nuclear RNA (snRNA) component of the spliceosome (involved in pre-mRNA splicing). Complementary binding between U2 snRNA (in an area lying towards the 5' end but 3' to hairpin I) and the branchpoint sequence (BPS) of the intron results the bulging out of an unpaired adenosine, on the BPS, which initiates a nucleophilic attack at the intronic 5' splice site, thus starting the first of two transesterification reactions that mediate splicing. The record is from Ensembl.